AGUCGGACGGCAGCACAGAGAAGCUUGCUUCUUGGGUGGCGAGUGGCGAACGGGUGAGUAACAUAUCGGAACGUACCGAGCAGUGGGGGAUAACUAAUCGAAAGAUUAGCUAAUACCGCAUAUUUUCUGAGGAAGAAAGCAGGGGACCAUUUGGCCUUGCGCUGUUUGAGCGGCCGAUAUCUGAUUAGCUAGUUGGUGGGGUAAAGGCCUACCAAGGCGACGAUCAGUAGCGGGUCUGAGAGGAUGAUCCGCCACACUGGGACUGAGACACGGCCCAGACUCCUACGGGAGGCAGCAGUGGGGAAUUUUGGACAAUGGGCGCAAGCCUGAUCCAGCCAUGCCGCGUGUCUGAAGAAGGCCUUCGGGUUGUAAAGGACUUUUGUCAGGGAAGAAAAGGAUAGGGUUAAUACCCCUGUCUGAUGACGGUACCUGAAGAAUAAGCACCGGCUAA
Molecule: ribosomal RNA, 451 nt
Filed under: Neisseria mucosa
Lineage: Bacteria; Pseudomonadati; Pseudomonadota; Betaproteobacteria; Neisseriales; Neisseriaceae
Description: bacterial SSU rRNA
Rfam family: Bacterial small subunit ribosomal RNA
Source: RNAcentral